Molecule: ribosomal RNA, 1373 nt
Filed under: uncultured bacterium
Lineage: Bacteria
Description: bacterial SSU rRNA
Rfam family: Bacterial small subunit ribosomal RNA
Source: RNAcentral
GAUGAACGCUGGCGGCGUGCCUAAUACAUGCAAGUCGAGCGAACGGACGAGAAGCUUGCUUCUCUGAUGUUAGCGGCGGACGGGUGUGUAACACGUGGAUAACCUACCUAUAAGACUGGGAUAACUUCGGGAAACCGGAGCUAAUACCGGAUAAUAUUUUGAACCGCAUGGUUCAAAAGUGAAAGACGGUCUUGCUGUCACUUAUAGAUGGAUCCGCGCUGCAUUAGCUAGUUGGUAAGGUAACGGCUUACCAAGGCAACGAUGCAUAGCCGACCUGAGAGGGUGAUCGGCCACACUGGAACUGAGACACGGUCCAGACUCCUACGGGAGGCAGCAGUAGGGAAUCUUCCGCAAUGGGCGAAAGCCUGACGGAGCAACGCCGCGUGAGUGAUGAAGGUCUUCGGAUCGUAAAACUCUGUUAUUAGGGAAGAACAUAUGUGUAAGUAACUGUGCACAUCUUGACGGUACCUAAUCAGAAAGCCACGGCUAACUACGUGCCAGCAGCCGCGGUAAUACGUAGGUGGCAAGCGUUAUCCGGAAUUAUUGGGCGUAAAGCGCGCGUAGGCGGUUUUUUAAGUCUGAUGUGAAAGCCCACGGCUCGACCGUGGAGGGUCAUUGGAAACUGGAAAACUUGAGUGCAGAAGAGGAAAGUGGAAUUCCAUGUGUAGCGGUGAAAUGCGCAGAGAUAUGGAGGAACACCAGUGGCGAAGGCGACUUUCUGGUCUGUAACUGACGCUGAUGUGCGAAAGCGUGGGGAUCAAACAGGAUUAGAUACCCUGGUAGUCCACGCCGUAAACGAUGAGUGCUAAGUGUUAGGGGGUUUCCGCCCCUUAGUGCUGCAGCUAACGCAUUAAGCACUCCGCCUGGGGAGUACGACCGCAAGGUUGAAACUCAAAGGAAUUGACGGGGACCCGCACAAGCGGUGGAGCAUGUGGUUUAAUUCGAAGCAACGCGAAGAACCUUACCAAAUCUUGACAUCCUUUGACAACUCUAGAGAUAGAGCCUUCCCCUUCGGGGGGGCAAAGUGACAGGUGGUGCAUGGUUGUCGUCAGCUCGUGUCGUGAGAUGUUGGGUUAAGUCCCGCAACGAGCGCAACCCUUAAGCUUAGUUGCCAUCAUUAAGUUGGGCACUCUAAGUUGACUGCCGGUGACAAACCGGAGGAAGGUGGGGAUGACGUCAAAUCAUCAUGCCCCUUAUGAUUUGGGCUACACACGUGCUACAAUGGACAAUACAAAGGGCAGCGAAACCGCGAGGUCAAGCAAAUCCCAUAAAGUUGUUCUCAGUUCGGAUUGUAGUCUGCAACUCGACUACAUGAAGCUGGAAUCGCUAGUAAUCGUAGAUCAGCAUGCUACGGUGAAUACGUUCCCGGGUCU